Molecule: transfer RNA, 71 nt
Filed under: Stegodyphus mimosarum
Lineage: Eukaryota; Metazoa; Arthropoda; Arachnida; Araneae; Eresidae
Rfam family: tRNA
About the family: Transfer RNA (tRNA) molecules are approximately 80 nucleotides in length.
Source: Rfam by way of RNAcentral
GCUUUAUUAGUGUAACGGUAGCACACUCGGCUCGUAUUCGAAAGGUCCAGGUUCGAAUCCCGGCGAGAGCU